This 2020-nucleotide unclassified non-coding RNA is filed under the name Acanthaster planci (crown-of-thorns starfish). RNAcentral describes it as "carnitine O-palmitoyltransferase 2, mitochondrial- like, transcript variant X5". Lineage: Eukaryota; Metazoa; Echinodermata; Asteroidea; Valvatida; Acanthasteridae. The record is from RNAcentral.
UCCCUGAGGCCUCUCAAACAAAAAGCAACGUGUUGGAAUUGAAAAAGAUGGCCAGCUACUUAACCCAGUGUCACCGGAAUGUUGGCAGAAGAUUGGGCAACUUGCUGAAGAUUGGAUUGGGCAAUCAACGUGUUGCCGUGACAGUGCUAGUUCCUUGCCACUUCAAACCACCAAAAGCACUGGGGACAAGAUGGUUCUCAUGUUCUAGAUCUGUUGCUUCAUCAGCAGACUAUCUUCAGACGCUGAGUCCUGUCCCCACAAUGCUCUUCCAACCGGCUAUCCCUCAGCUGCCCAUACCCUCUGUGCGAGACACCUGCCAGCGUUACCUUGCUACUCAGCAUGUGUUUCUCAGUCCAAAAGAAUAUGCCGAGACACAGUCCCUAGUGGGAGAAUUCCAGAAGGGGGCAGGUGUUGACCUCAACAAUGAAUUGGUUGAACUGAACAAGACAAACACCCAUACAAGCUACAUUGCAGAUUUCUGGAUGGAUGUGUACCUCAGGUAUAGAGACUCGGUUGUUCUUAACUCAAGCCCGGCAUCCUUCAUCACCAAUGACCCCAGACCAGAGUAUAUGGACCAGACAACUCGAUCAACCAAUGUGACCGUCUCCAUACUGAGAUUCUUGAAGACACUGAGGGAUGACAAGCUUCUCCCAGAUGCUGUUCAUAGGAACCCUGCCAUCACUGACACGCAAGACUUCUGGAGUUCAUUCAGGACUCUCUCAUCCAAGGAGGCCUACCGACAUGCUCUAGAUAACAACGUGCAGCCCCUGGACAUGAGCCAGUUUUCUAGAAUCUUCAAUGCAUCUCGGAUACCUCGGCCCCACAGGGAUGAGUUGUUCAGAGAUGAAUCUCAGCAGCAUGUGCUGGUGAUAUCCAAUGGCCACAUGUACGUGUUUGAUGUCUUGGAUAUCAGCGGGAGUCUGGUUUCAGCACAGGAUAUCAGAGCCAAUCUUCAGUACAUUGUCAGCCAUUCCACCUCCUUACCACCACCAAAGUACCCCAUCGGCUACCUAACCACAGAACACCGUGAUACCUGGACACAGCUCCGUGAAAAGCUGCUGGCAGUGUGUCCAGGAAAUAAGGAGAGUCUGAGACUCAUUGACUCUGCCUUGUUCUGCCUGUGUCUUGAUGAUGACACGGAUGAUGAUAAGGAGCAGCUAGUCCGGAGAGGAUUGCAUGGAAAUGCUGCAAACAGGUGGUUUGACAAACCUUUCCAGCUAAUUGUAACUUCAAGUGGGCAGUUGCUGGUCAACAUGGAACACUCUUGGGGGGAUGGUGUAACCCUGAGGAGGAUGUUCUCGGAGGUGUUCCAAGACUCCCUGGACCGACCCGUCAUCUCACCGGGGGAUGCUACCGGUAGGGUAGACAGCUCAGAAAGAGUGACCAGGCUAGAGUUCAAACUUGACUCUGUGAUCUCCCGAGGCAUUGAGGUGGCCAAAGCUAACCACACGCUUGCUACCAGCCAGCUAAAUCUACAGUGCAUUCAGUACACAAAAUAUGGCAGCUCCUUCAUCAAGAAGUUUGGAGUGAGCCCUGAUGCUGUGGCGCAGCUGGCGUUGCAAAUGGCAUACCAUCGAGUUACUGGCCAGGUUGCAGCAACAUACGAGUCCUGCAGCACAGCCAUGUUCAAGCAAGGCCGCACAGAGACGAUCCGAUCAGCCACAGCUGAGACUAAAAGAUGCACUGACGCUUUCUACAAGAACUCUGGAGUCAGCUUAGCGGAGCAGAGAGCUCUGGUAAAGGCCUGCUCAGAUAAACACCGACUACUGUCUAAGGAGGCCACAGUGGAGGCUCUGUGUAUUUCAUGGAGACUAAGUGGUAGCCUCAGCAAAAUGCACGCUUACCUCAAGGUAGUGACAAAAUAGCGGUAGUCGCUACGCUCAAGCAACUGUCAGUGCAACCUCGCCAAGCACCGCACGCCAUGGAAUAGUGCUUACGGUCAAGGAUGGGACCGUCACCUCUUUGCCUUACGUGCCCUUGCCUCUUCAACCGGCAGACCCAUGCCAACAGUGUUCCAGGA